RNAcentral lists this ribosomal RNA (850 nucleotides) under uncultured bacterium. RNAcentral describes it as "bacterial SSU rRNA". It matches the Rfam family "Bacterial small subunit ribosomal RNA", at positions 9 to 841 of the family's 1533-position model. The record is from RNAcentral.
GAGUUGUCAUGGCUCACAACGAACGUUAGCGGCGCGCCUAACACAUGCAAGUCGCACGAGAAAGGGCUUCGGCCCCGGUACAGUGGCGCACGGGUGAGUAACACGUAGAUAAUCUUCCCUCGAGUGGUGGAUAACUCUCCGAAAGGAGAGCUAAUACAGCAUAAGACCACGGCUUCGUUGAAGCUGCGGCCAAAGCAGGCCUCUACACGUAAGCUUGCGCUUGAGGAUGAGUCUGCGGCCCAUCAGCUAGUUGGUAGGGUAAUGGCCUACCAAGGCUAAGACGGGUAGCUGGUCUGAGAGGAUGAACAGCCACACUGGAACUGAGACACGGUCCAGACUCCUACGGGAGGCAGCAGUGGGGAAUCUUGCGCAAUGGGCGAAAGCCUGACGCAGCGACGCCGCGUGAGCGAUGAAGGCCUUCGGGUUGUAAAGCUCUGUGGGGAGGAAAGAAUAAGGCUUGGCUAAUAUCCAAGCUGAUGACGGUACCUCCUUAGCAAGCACCGGCUAACUCUGUGCCAGCAGCCGCGGUAAGACAGAGGGUGCAAACGUUGUUCGGAAUUACUGGGCGUAAAGCGCGUGUAGGCGGCCCUGCAAGUCGGGUGUGAAAUCCCACGGCUCAACCGUGGAAGUGCAUUCGAAACUGCAGGGCUAGAGUCCUGGAGAGGAAGGUGGAAUGCUUGGUGUAGAGGUGAAAUUCGUAGAUAUCAAGCGGAACACCGGUGGCGAAGGCGGCCUUCUGGACAGUGACUGACGCUGAGACGCGAAAGCGUGGGGAGCAAACAGGAUUAGAUACCCUGGUAGUCCACGCCGUAAACGAUGAGUGCUAGGUGUCACGGGCUUUGACCCUCGU